CUGUUCGAGCGUCAUUAUAACCCCUCAAGCUCAGCUUGGUGUUGGGGCCUGCCGUCUGGCAGCCCUUAAAAUCAGUGGCGGUGCAUCUGGCUCUAAGCGUAGUAAUUUUUCUCGCUAUAGAGUCCCGAUGGAUGCUUGCCAUUAACCUCCAAUUUUCUAUGGUUGACCUCGGAUCAGGUAGGGAUACCCGCUGAACUUAA
Molecule: unclassified non-coding RNA, 200 nt
Filed under: soil metagenome
Description: partial contains internal transcribed spacer 2 and large subunit ribosomal RNA
Source: RNAcentral